Molecule: long non-coding RNA, 2832 nt
Filed under: Volvox carteri
Lineage: Eukaryota; Viridiplantae; Chlorophyta; Chlorophyceae; Chlamydomonadales; Volvocaceae
Description: long non-coding RNA (VCAR_LNC003596)
Source: RNAcentral
CGAGUGGCAGAAGUUAAGGCCUGGCUUCUGCUCCCGGCGCAUCAGGGUUCAAAUCCGCCUGCCGACCUCUCGGGAUCUUUGAGAGGUGAUGAAAUGGGAGGUGGCCCCCCAUCUUGUGGACGGUGUAGGACAUGAUAAAAUCAAUUUGCGAACUGACCAGGAACUAAGUUGACGCGCCGUUGAUCCGCUAGAUUUGGUUGGAUGCCGGUGGUGAGUUGCCAAACUCAAAAGAGUACAUUCUGAAGUCGGAUGGGGUGAAUGGAUUAGGGUGCCCCUCUAGCAGGGGAGAGCAGGGAACUGCCUCGGGAAGGAGGCCACUAGUGAAGCUUAACCACCCUGUUACAACAACAACUUACUACCAGGGCCCCCCAAGGAGCCGCAAACACACGCCCUGCAGCAGCCACAAUCACCCUCCCAACAUCACGCAGAUCCGCACACCCAACAUAUGCCUGCCCACAGCUUUGCAUAUCCUCGCGACCCCGACCGGAGAGGAACCCUCCCCCAUAACAGGCAAUCGUGAGACGGACGUACACAAGCGAUGGAAACACGCACAUAUCUGCGUUUCAUUAAUGAAAUAUAUCAAGGAACUAAUUAAUGCAACAUCAAAAUCCGCGUAUGUGAACGCAGGCACACAUAUGCAUGGAUGCGCAGGUAAUAAAACAGUAGUGCCAACUGCUGAAGCGCCUGCUGGCCUGUAUGACCUACUCCCUACCGGCCAACAGGGCCCUGAAGCUCUUAACUUGCAACACUCGGCCACAUUCUCGCUUUGCCGCCUGUUUACUUGCGAAGUAUACCUACCUUGUACGCUACCUACCUAAUCUUACCAUCGCUACCAGGCUCUACCGGGCUGUCCGCCUGGCAUGCCUAAAUAUAUAAUUGUGUAAUGUAAGGGGAUAUGGAUCCACCCAGCCUGGCAAUCCCGUCUGUAUGUCCAAUGAAGUAACAACCUAGGUCAGCGCGGAUGAGGGCAGUGCUUGUCACGUGCGUACACAACCAUCCUGCGGCUUUCCGCUCCCCGCUGUCGUACACGUCCGCACAGACUUGAGCCGCGACCGGCUUCCCGCCAUGUGCUUAGGAAUCGGUGUCCCUUGUGGCCCUGCUUAGCAAUACAAUGUAUUUUGAGCCAUGCGGUCAGUGAAGUUAUGCAUGCGAAAAGGAGCUUAGCCUCUACACCCGGUGAGGUUCGAACUCACGCAGCUUUCGCUAUGGGAAAGCCCAUUCUCAAAGCUUGAGACCCACCCGUUAGACCACUCCGGCACAGGUGCAAUCCGAGAUCUGCUCGGAAACCCGAGGAUGCCCGCGCCCGCACAUCACCUGCAGAUAUCUGUCAACCUGCACACGUGCCGUUGUACAACCUUCAUCCGAACGUAUACGUGUGCUCCUGUGUCCGUGGCCGAAAGCUGAAACGGCGGGGUGUAAUGGGCCCGAGUGUGUGCCCGGAUCUCUAGGACACAUAGACAGCACUAGAUCCCGCUUUGCGCAGGCAAGCGGUCCCACGGCUGCUACACGUAUAUGUAUGUAUGCCCUUUCGACAACUCCUAAGUCCUGCAACAACACUCAAACCAUCAUCCGGCCAUCAGAACCCCCUUGACCUCACCCCCUUUCGAGCCAACUUUCGAGCCGCCCAUCCAACCAUCCAUCCCCCCAUCCAUCCAUCCAUCCAUUCACCCAUCCAUCCGUCCAUCCAUUCACCCAUCCAUCCGUCCAUCCAUCCAUCCAUUUCCUUCCUUCCCUUCCUUACAGGUAGAGCCCCAGCACCCUCGUGACCUGCUCCCCAUCCAGCGGUCCGUCCACAUCCCCCGCCCAUUCGUACGUGUGCAUGGCGCCCUUGCCCUUCACAUCCGUCAUGCCCAGGUCACGCCAUGCCUCAUUAGGCAACAGCGACUGGGUGGCGGAGCUGACGUGGAUACGGCCCGGGGAGCAAGUGCUCUCCAUGCGGCUGGCCACGUUCUGAACGUACGACGGACGGAGGAGGAGAAGAGAGCGGGGGAAAGAGGGUUUCAGCGCUGACGUGUGCGGGUCCCACUGUACCAAGCCAUGUUCAGGUCAUGUGACGGCCCUCCCCUUGCUCCUUUCCCUCGCUCCUUCCCCACCCUCUCCCCUCCCUCUCCCCUCCCUCUCCCCUCCCUCUCCCCUCCCUCUCCCCUCCCUCUCCCCUCCCUCUCCCCUCCCUCUCCCCUCCCUCUCCCCUCCCUCUCCCCUCCCUCUCCCCUCCCUCUCCCCUCCCUCUCCUCNNNNNNNNNNNNNNNNNNNNNNNNNNNNNNNNNNNNNNNNNNNNNNNNNNGUGGCCCUGCUUAGCAAUACAAUGUAUUUUGAGCCAUGCGGUCAGUGAAGUUAUGCAUGCGAAAAGGAGCUUAGCCUCUACACCCGGUGAGGUUCGAACUCACGCAGCUUUCGCUAUGGGAAAGCCCAUUCUCAAAGCUUGAGACCCACCCGUUAGACCACUCCGGCACAGGUGCAAUCCGAGAUCUGCUCGGAAACCCGAGGAUGCCCGCGCCCGCACAUCACCUGCAGAUAUCUGUCAACCUGCACACGUGCCGUUGUACAACCUUCAUCCGAACGUAUACGUGUGCUCCUGUGUCCGUGGCCGAAAGCUGAAACGGCGGGGUGUAAUGGGCCCGAGUGUGUGCCCGGAUCUCUAGGACACAUAGACAGCACUAGAUCCCGCUUUGCGCAGGCAAGCGGUCCCACGGCUGCUACACGUAUAUGUAUGUAUGCCCUUUCGACAACUCCUAAGUCCUGCAACAACACUCAAACCAUCAUCCGGCCAUCAGAACCCCCUUGACCUCACCCCCUUUCGAGCCAACUUUCGAGCCGCCCAUCCAACCAUCC